This 164-nucleotide antisense RNA is filed under the name Pseudocitrobacter vendiensis. RNAcentral describes it as "Bacterial antisense RNA HPnc0260". It matches the Rfam family "Bacterial antisense RNA HPnc0260". The record is from RNAcentral. Lineage: Bacteria; Pseudomonadati; Pseudomonadota; Gammaproteobacteria; Enterobacterales; Enterobacteriaceae.
ACUAUUGAAGGCAUCGUGGGUCAUGGGCAAAUCGUUGUUCAUGACUCAUGGUGCUUUUUAUUUAUUUAAAACAGAUGAUGAGCAGAAGAUAACGAGUAAGAAAAAGAGGGGAGAUGAAACAAGAAUGGUGCGUUCGAUUGGACUCGAACCAACGACCCCCACCA